AAAAAGAAAUAUCGAUUAAUAUUAAUACAUUAUAAGUUAUUGAAGCCAUCCUGUAUUUUUGAAGAUGUACAUAGACGUAUAUAUAAGUAAAAGUUUAAAAGAUUAAAACAUGUAUGUCUGUCUGUCUGUCUGUCUGUCUGUCUGUCUGUCUGUCUGUCUGUCUGUCUGUCUGUCUGUCUGUCUGUCUCUCUCUUAGGAGUGUAAGAAAUGACCAUUAUAAUUGGCAGAGACCGUUUUCCACAACAUGUCAGUAGUGUCAGGGGGAGCCCCAGAAUUAGUGUUCUGGGGGGAGCCCCAGAAUUAGGAGUUAUUUGUUUUAUUGUGUUGGACAGCACACGUGGAGGGGUGAUGAGGUGAUGGACACAGCCAGGCUCUGCUACGUAGACAGUACCCACAGGUGGGAGGUUUGUAUGCUGUCACCAGCCUGACACAGCUGACCUCCUUCAGCUCACCGGCUCAGGGAUUUGUACAGAUUCUCAAUGUGUCUGGCAAUCACUGGGUCACGGUAAGUAACAUAGGCUGUGAGGAAGGUACUUUAAAUGUGUUUGACUCUUUGGGAAUUAAUAAUAAGCAUGAUUUCCAUUCCCAGGUCGUAUCACUGCUGCAGUACAGUGGAAAGACAGUUGGGAUCGGGUGGCCACAUGUACAGCAGCAGCAGGGAUGGAGGGACUGUGGACUGUUUACCAUCGCAAACAGCCUCACACUCUGCAUGGGUGGAGAUCCAGGUAAGUUAUGUGAUGAUCAAAAGCAAAUGCGUGAUCAUCUUUUUUCUUGUUUUGUAGCUGGAUCUCUUCCUCCUUUCCCGAGCUGUGAGAGAACCCCCCUCCCAGAGGUACAUUUCUGUGAUGUGGAGACCAGACAGGAUUGCACUGGAGCUGAUGGUGGAAUGCAGGAGGUGUGGAGAAUGGUUCCAUGGCCAGUGCCAAGAUCUACAGCCAGAUGCCCUCAUCAGUAUGGAGGAGUGUAUGUGCUGCAUUUGCAGAGUUACACACACGGGUAAGCAUGGCCUGACAUGGACGGCUCACAGGAGAUCCAGUUGCUCUACUCUCUGUGCGAGUAGAGUUCACUUUACUUUCCUUGAGUAAACUUUCCUUUGUAAAGGGUUUUGGCUGGUAAACGGUUGAGCCGUCCAGUUGUAGUUAGGGUUUGGUUUGUUUAUUUUUGUUUUGUAUUUAAUAAAAGUACACAACAGUGCUACAAAGUA
Molecule: long non-coding RNA, 1204 nt
Organism: Acipenser ruthenus (sterlet)
Lineage: Eukaryota; Metazoa; Chordata; Actinopteri; Acipenseriformes; Acipenseridae
Exons: 2
Source: RefSeq, a predicted model, not a curated record